RNAcentral lists this ribosomal RNA (207 nucleotides) under uncultured bacterium. RNAcentral describes it as "partial 16S ribosomal RNA". It matches the Rfam family "Bacterial small subunit ribosomal RNA", at positions 1294 to 1500 of the family's 1533-position model. The record is from RNAcentral.
CGGAUUGCAGGCUGCAACUCGCCUGUAUGAAGUCGGAAUUGCUAGUAAUCGCGGAUCAGCAUGCCGCGGUGAAUACGUUCCCGGGCCUUGUACACACCGCCCGUCACACCAUGAGAGCCGGUAACACCCGAAGUCAGUAGCUUAACCGCAAGGGGGGCGCUGCCGAAGGUGGGAUUGGUAAUUGGGGUGAAGUCGUAACAAGGUAGC